Molecule: long non-coding RNA, 13612 nt
Filed under: Capsicum annuum
Lineage: Eukaryota; Viridiplantae; Streptophyta; Magnoliopsida; Solanales; Solanaceae
Description: long non-coding RNA (CANN_LNC020216)
Source: RNAcentral
UAAGUUGGUUGUACUUGGACAUCAUAGCUGAAUUGCCUAACCUCGAGGUGCUGAAGCUGAUGGAUGGUACUUGUGUUGGAAAAAAAUGGUAUCCAAAUGUCAGGGCAUUUACUCGAUUGAAGCUUUUGUUAAUUGAAUAUAGUUUUCUCAAGUACUGGAAAGCCACAAAUGACAAUUUUCCUGUCCUUGAGCGCCUUGUGCUUAAAAACUGCCAUAAUUUGAAAGAGAUACCCAUUGAGUUUGCAGAAAUCCACACACUACAACUGAUUGAGUUAACAAGUUGUCUUCCCGAACUUGGGGAAUCUGCAGNNNNNNNNNNNNNNNNNNACUCUUUCUCAAUUCCACAAGUCAAGUUGUACACAAAAGUUAUUUAGCUUUGCUCCAUAUUCUUUCACAAAAUAACUUUGACAAAUUUGGUUAAAACCGUACUUAAAAUGUGAGAAAAAAUAACAAGAAUAUCCCUUAUAUUUGAGGGUAGUUCAAAAUGGCUCCUUAAAUAUAUUUUUGAGCAGUUUUGGUACUUUAGUUUUGUUAAAACUCAUGAGAAUACAUUAUGUAAAUAACUACUAAUCAGUUAGUUGGUACUGUUCCAUUGAUUUGUUAGCUAGUGUAUUAGGUGAUUAGUUAGUCGAAUCAGUUAGCUAGCUGUCAAGUUGAUUAGUGGCCCAAUCAAGUAGUAAGGAGGUUGUUAGGAAACUUCUAGAAGACCAUGUGUUGAUCAUGUGAGUCAAUAAAUAGGAGGUGAUCAUACAUUGUAUUGACUAACUUUUACUCUAAAACUGUAUUCCCAGUAACUUGUUCCCUUCUCUUAUCCCUUUGUUGAGCUCAAGCUCAGCUGUAAUGGCAGCAAUGUACGAAUGCUAAGAGGUGUUUUAACAUGGUAUCAGAGCCCGCGAUUAUGGGACUCAAGAAACAAGCUAUCGAGUAUAAAUGUAUCUGCAAUACAGUAAGUUUUGCCUGAGUUUUUGUUUGUGUGUUAGUGAGGUCAGAAGAACUUAGAUCUCUAUUUGUGAGCCAUAGAUCUAUAGUUGCAGGACAUAGAUUUCGAGUUUACUGUGUUGUUUUUGAUCCAAGAUUAGUUGUAAUCUAUAAAUUGGUUAUGGCACCUAAAAUUGAUUCUAGUGAUCCUCUGUUUCUGGGAGCAUCAGAUAUAGCAGGAGCUGCACUGAUUCCCAUCAAAUUAACUGGUUCAGAGAACUAUGGAAUUUGGUGUAGAUCUAUGAAGAUUGCCCUAUUGGGAAAGAGGAAAUAUAGAUUUGUAACUGGUACUUGUAGCAAGGAAAUAUAUAGAGAGGAGUUACAUGAUCAAUGGGAGACAUGUAAUGCAGUAGUACUCCCAUGGCUAAUGAGUUCAGUAAGUGCAGAAUUAUUCAGUGGUAUUGUAUAUGCAACAAAUGCUCAUGAAGUAUGGGUGGAUCUUAAGGAGAGAUUUGACAAGGUAAAUCACAUGAGACUAUACCAAUUACACAGGGAAAUCAAUAAUCUUCACCAAGGUACUGAUUCAGUUUCAACUUACUUUACUAAACUGAAGAACUUAUGGAGUAAACAUGAUGCAGUCAUACCAACUCCAUCAUGUAAUUGUCCUAAGUCGAAGGAGUAUGCAGAAUAUUUGUAUCAGUUAAGGCUAAUACAGUUCUUGAGUGGGUUAAAUGAUGCAUAUGAUAGGCAAAAAGACAAAUAUUGAUGAAAGGAAUAACACCUGCACUUAAUCAAGCAUAUGCAAUGAUCAGUGAGGAUGAAAUUCAAUAGCUUGCUUGUGCUACAACUAUUGGUGAUAAGACUGAACCUAUUGCUAUGCAAUUACACAGAAAAAAUGCAGAGGUUGGAAUGGAAGUAGGAAUCAAGCAUCAAUAAGUUUUGGAGGACAAGGCUAUAAAGGUAAAAGGUGUGAUUACUACAAUUUUACUGGGCAUACAAGGGAAAACUGCUACAAGUUCCAUGGAUAUCCAAGUGAUUGGAGGAACAAGAAAAGGGGAAUACCAAAUCAACCAUUUCAUAAUGGCCAAGGCAGAGCUGGUCAUGGAUAUGGACAUUCAAUUGCUGGUUACAACAACAGUCAGUCAUUAACUCAUAACAUCUCUGGUCCUUAAGCAGAGAACUCAUGCUUGGAUAAGCAAUCCAGUAGGUAGGGGGUAAAGACAUUAACAAUGCUACUUUGGCCAAGGGGGAAGGAUUAUCAGAGGAAGAAUACAAUCAGAUUAUAGCACUGAUUAACAAGGAAACACAUAACUCUGAACAGAACAACAUGACAGGUAAUGUUAGUUAUUUCUCUAGUCAUAUUAUUUCACAUGAUUGGAUAGUAGAUUCAGGAGCCACACACCAUGUAGCAGUACAUAAAGUUAUUUUCUCAUACUGUCACAAAGUGGAUAAUACCAUAUGUGACAAAGUUAAUCUGCCUACUGGAGCCAAGGUUGAAAUAACACAUAUAGGAGAAACACAGGUGCUGAAGGAUGAAGUUGUGGGGGAUGUACUGUAUGUUCCAGAUUUCAAACUGAACUUGUUCUUAGUAUCUAAAAUGACUAAGCAUCUUUCUUGCUUUGUUUCAUUUUACCCUGACUUCUGUGUGUUUCAGGACCUUCAUAGUGGCAAGGUGAAGGGGAUUGGUAAGGAGAAAGAAGGACUAUACAUCCUGAAGAAUGUGUGUGAAGUAAAUGGAACUCUUAACAAUAAGAAUCAUCAAAUAUAGGUUGCAGGAGUAGAAGUAGAAGUGCAGAUGCAUGGGUGUAGUCUAUGGCAUAAAAGGCUGGGACAUCCUUCUUCUCAAGCAUUAAAGAUUCUCAAUAUCAUAAGGCACAGUAGUGAUGUAGAUAUUCUAAAUAAGUGUCAUGUUUGUCCAUUAGCAAAACCAACUAGGCUAGUUUUUCCUAUCAUUACUUCCAAAGCUACAAGAUGUUUUGAUGUUGUACAUAUGGACCUCUGGGGUCCCUAUAAGACACCUACUUUUGACAAGAAAUACUAUUUCUUAACUGUUGUUGAUGAUCAUAGUAGUUAUACAUGGUUACAUCUAUUAUAACUAAAGUCUGAUUGCAUUGUAGCCAUAAAGAACUUCUUCACUAUGAUUUAGAAUCAGUUUGGUGUUCAGAUAAAGCUACUGAGGUCAGAUAAUAGGACAGAGUUCAUUAACUCUAAAUGCAAAGAGUUGUUUCAAUCCUUAGGAAUCAUAAAUCAAAGUAGAUAUCCAUACACACCACAACAAAAUAGUGUGGUUAAGAGAAAGCAUAGAUAGAUACUAAAUAUUGCAAGAGCAAUCAGGUUCCAGUCACAGAUGCCUAUUAGAUUUUGGGGGUUAAAUAUUAAAGCUGCUGUAUAUCUCAUUAACAUACUACCAUCUUCAUCCAUAGAAGGUAAAAGUCCUUAUGAGAUGUUGUUUUGCAAGGUUCCAUCCUUGACACAUCUAAGAGUGAUUGGAUGUAAAUUUUAUGCCUUAAUAUUGCCAAGAGGUGAUAAGCUUGUAGAAAGGGCCAAGAUUGCAGUAUUGAUGGGCUAUUCUGCAACUCAGAAAGGUUAUAAACUAUUAGACUGGUGUACUAAUAAGUUUUUUGUUACCAGAGAUGUAGUGUUCAAGGAAGAUUCAUUUCCUUUUAUAGAGGAGCCAAGUUCAGAAUCUUCUGUAGAAUUUCUUACACUAAGAUCUCCCACACAUGAUGAUGCAGAAGUAGAAGAAGAUGCAGACCGUCACACAGGUCCUAGUGAGCCUUUACACGAGUCACAAACUGAAGAUACAUCAAUACAUGAUCCUAAUGGCAUUUAAGAAGAAUACACUCAUAAUUUACAGAAUGUAGAAGAGUCACUCUCAGUACCCACAGAAGUUGAACUAAGAAGAUAAUUCAGAGCUACCAAACAACCUGUAUGGCUAAUGGAUUAUGCUUCACCAGGGAAGAGGAGAGGAAAUGGAUACCAACUUGCAAAUUACCUGUCUUAUGCUAAUACUAGUUCAAAAUAUCAAGAUUUUGUGUGCAGCUUGUCCGCAGAAGUUGAACCACAAUCUUAUAAUAAAGCUAGCAGAGAUAAGAGGUGGAUUGAAUCCAUGAAGUAGGAGGUUAAAGCUCUUGAAGAAAACCAUACAUGGGAAGUGGUUGAUAUGCCCUCAGAAAAGAACAUCAUUGGAUCAAAAUGGGUGUACAAAAUCAAGUAUAAGGCCAAUGAGGAAAUAGAGAGGUUUAAGGAAAGGUUGGUAGCCAAAGCUUAUAGUCAACUGGAAGAGCUAGACUACCAUGAUACAUUUUUUCCAGUAGCCAAAAUGGUUACAGUAAGGAGUGUCAUUGCCUUAGUAGUAUCAAAAGGGUGGUGCAUAUACCAGAUGGAUGUAUACAAUGCUUUCCUACAAGGUGACCUAGAUGAGGAGGUGUAUAUGGAAAUGCCAAAUGGUUUCAAGGAGGGAAGGCAACACAAAGUUUUCAGACUAAUUAAGUCUAUAAAUGGACUUAAGCAGGCAUCAAGGCAAUGGAAUAUCAAGCUGACUGCAGCAUUGCUCAGUGCAGGUUUUACCUAAAGCAUCUAUGAUUAUUCAUUAUUUACCCUGAAGAAGUCAGAAGGAAUAGUGGUGAUUUUAGUCUAUAUAGAUGAUCUUCUGAUAACUAGUGACAAUACAGACAUGAUCAAUGCAGUAAAAGGUACUUUGCACAAGCAAUUCAAGCUCAAAGAUCUAGGUGAACUUAAGUAUUUCCUAGGUAUUAAAGUGUUAAGAUCUGCCAGUGAAGUGAUUCUGAAUCAUAGAAAAUAUGUCUUGGAGCUCAUAUUCGAAACAGGUCUUGAUGGUGCCAAACCAGCCACCACCCCACUAGAGACUAAUGCUAAAAUAACUUCAGUUGAAGUAGAUAAAGCAGCAGGUGUGAAAGGAGAUGCCAUUCAAAGAGAUACAACAUCAUAUCAAAGGCUUGUUGGAAAACUGAUGUAUGCUACAAUAACAAGUCCUGACAUCAGUUAUGCAGUGCAGACACUAAGUGAAUUCAUCCAACAACCAAAGAAAUCCCACUUGGAAGCUGCAAACAGAGUGAUAAGAUAUUUGAAAGGAACUGUAGGACAAAGUAUAUGGCUUAAGACACAACCUACUGCAGAAUUGGUUUUUUGGUGUGACUCAGAUUAGGCUGCAUGUCCAAACACUAGGAGGUCUGUUACAGGUUAUGUGGUGUAGUUUGGUAGUUCAUUGAUAUCUUGGAAGUCUAAAAAGCAGCACACUGUCUCUAGAAGCUCAGCUGAGGCAGAAUAUAGGAGCAUGGCCUCAACAUUAGCAGAAGUGACAUGGUUGGAAGGUCUGUUCUCAGAACUGAGGGUGUCUAUCACUAAGCCUAUUGUCAUCUUUAGUGAUCAUAAGUCAGCCAUCCAACUAGCUGCUAACCCCAUAUUUCAUGAGAAAACCAAACACAUUGAAGUAGAUUGUCAUUUUAUUAGAGACAAGAUCAAAGAGGGGUUGGUUCAGCCCAUGUAUGUGCAGACAGGUCAACAAGUUGCAGACAUCCUUACUAAGGGUCUCAGUCAUGAUCAACAUUCAUACCUCCAUAGCAAGCUUGGUGUGCUCAAGAUUUUGCACCCUGCAGCUUGAGAGGGAGUGUUAAAACUCAUGAGAAUACAUUAUGAAAUAACUACUAAUCAGUUAGUUGGUACUGUUCCAUUGAUUUGUUAGCUAGUGGAUUAGGUGAUUAGUUAGUCGAAUCAGUUAGCCAGCUUUCAAGUUGAUUAGUGGGCCAAUCAAGUAGUUAGGAGGUUGUUAGGAAACUUCUAGAAGACCAUGUGUUAAUCAUGUGAGUCUAUAAAUAGGAGGUGAUCAUACAUUGUAUUGACUAACUUUUACUCAAAAACUGCAUUCCCAGUAACUUGUUCCCUUCUCUUAUCCCUUUGUUGAGCUCAAGCUCAGCUGCAAUGGCAGCAAUGUAUGAAUGCUAAGAGGUAUUUUAAUAGUAACCACCAUUUUUCUGCUUUUCGCUCGAGGACUAGACUUGGAUGAACCUCGUUAAAUACUUGUAUUAGGUUUUUUUGAGUUAAUGGCAAAAAACACAUUUGAACUAUCACCUGCCAUUAAAUUACAAUAAAAAUAAAAUGGAAAAUGAAUAGUAGAUGUUUGCUCUCUUUGUUUUCAUCUGCACACGAAUUUUAAGGUGCCGAUUGUAUAAAUUCUAGUAAAAUGAGGUUUACUUGGAUUCAACUCUUUUAUGAAAUAAUUGAAAUACUUUGUAUUAAUUUUAUCAAGGUAAGUAUAUAUUUAUGAAGGUUACACACUAUUUCUCAUUUCCACAAGUCACAUCAUACAGUGGUACAAUCACAUGAUGAUGAUGAUGAUGAAGAUUCAAAUGUUGAUGUUGCAGAACAUGAUGAUAAUUUAGAUCUUCGGUUGUUAUCUGUUCAGAAUAACCUGUAAUGAGAAUGGAAACUAUAGAUUAACAAUUUGAUACUGUUAUAGACUGUUGAUGCUAGUUCAUAACCCUAUGUUUUUCAUAAAUAUAAAUUUAUUACCAAUGUGGGACAAUUGGUUCAUAAAUUUUUACCCUCUUAUCAUUUCUCUAUUUUUCCAAUGUGGGACAAUUGGUUCAUAAUAGUAGCGUUAUUUAUUAGAUGUACGGGAAUGGGCAUUUAUAUGGUGAUUCUCUUGUCUUACUUUUUACUGUUGAUGUUAGGUACUUUUAACUGUUUGUAAAUGAAGCAUUACCAUCCGAAUUUGAGACUAUCGGGAAGCAGGUUAUAGACAAAUGUCAUCUCGAUUGUUGGGAUUUUGUCAAAAUCUAAAGACAUUGGAAGAUUCGAAAGAUGUCAAGUCAUUUGCAACAGAUGAUCCUGAUGAACAACGUUUACAUGUCUUCUGUUCUUUCGGAAUUUUUCAAAUAAGACAGUGAGAAUUCAGUGAAGAAAUUGGUGAGAUUAUGUAUAGAUAGGACACUGCACUCAUUCUGUUCUCUUUUUCCCUAUACAAGUUUAUGUUUUUUUCUCAUAAACUGUGAACCUUAAAUUCAGUUAUGCUAAUGACUUCAAAUGCAAGCAUUUAUAUCAGUCAUAUCCAUGCACCGAUACAUCAGAAAAGGAAACCGAGGUAGCAAAGACUAUUCAGUAGAUCGUGCAUAACCUAAGAACUUACUAAGAACUAGUUCAAUCUCUUAACUGAAUAACUCACUAAUUAAGUCGACACCUCUCGGUUCACUGACCUUAUCAAAAUGUAUGUUUUAGUUUUAAAAGCAAUUACUGAAAGCUCAUUUCGGAAUAUAUGUAAUAGCCCAAUAUAUAUUUUUAAAAUGAAGGAUUAAUUGGUAAUUUUAACCAAUUAUUAAUGUCAAUUAAGUGAAUUAAAUUGGGCAAGCCAAAAGCCGAAACCCUUUUUCUUCUUUAGUUUUUCCGUUACUGAAGGAUUAGAAUAUAAGGGUGUUUAGUUCCAUUAUUUUUGGUACAAAAAAAAAAAAAAAUUAGCACUAUGAGCUAGAAGUCUUUUUACUUUUGUUUGGGCCAUGGCGGCCAGUGCUCCUAAGAUCACAGAAGCAAUGCUGCAGAAAAAGAAGAUUUGUUGCACUGUAGCCCCAUAAGAACCAUAAAUAGAAACCCAUGAAAUAUUAGCAGAAAUAGAGAUUUUAGGCGCAAUUCAUAGGAUAUAUAUGAGUAAUUCAAAGGAAAUAUUGAAAUAUUUGAUAGGAUUGGUUAUGUUAGCAGAUAGAUUAAAGAUGUGAACACCGUAACUUCUCCUGCCAUAUGAAGGAACUCUUCUCUUAAGGCAUAACUUUUUGUGAGUUCAAAGACGGCAGAAACUGUUUCAAGUGAGAAGCAGUAGGUAUGUAGAAUUAGUUCUAAUUCAAAUUAGCACUAUGCUAUGGUAGUGGUAUUCUUGUCGAAGAAUUGUUAUGUAUUAUUCGAGAGAUGAUGGUCCAUCAUUAUGGGUAGCUUGAAUUAGUACGCAUCUUACAAAAUAGUAAAGUAUGGUCUCUGAUUUGUAUCUUUGAGCUACUGCUUGUUGGAAAUUGUUGGAAAUUAUUGAUUUUCACCUUGAAUUGCCUAUACAAAGUGGAGUAUUAAUAUUAUUGAACACGAGUAUGAUUUCAACUAGCAUAAUUGAUUUUAUUAAUUAAUAUAUUUGCUUAGAUUGAAGCCAUUGGAGUCUAUUUGGUUGAUGUUCUACGAGUUGCGAGGUUGGGAAAAGUGUUGUUAGCGAGGGUAGUGAGACUUCAAGCUUUGGUGCUUGCUUUUUAAAUCAGCUUUAUAAAAAAAUGUAUUUUUCUACCUAGUCCAUGUGUUGGGACAAGAGUGUUCUUGGUAGAAUUGGUGGUCUUUGAUCAACUGCGGAUAUAUAUUUUGUUAUGCAUAUUGAGAAUCAUUUGAUGGUGAGUUGUGAGGUGAUGUUGGGAUAUUGGAUAUAUUUACAAGGAGAAUAUAUGUGCUGACGUAAUAUAUUAGGGGCAUACCUAUGCUGCCGUAAUAUGUUAGGGGCCUUGUACUUGCUGUCAUGAUAUAUUUACUAGGGGCAUACAUGUGCUGCCGAAAUAUGAUAGAGGCAUACCUAUGCCGCCGUAAUAUGUUAGGGGUCUUGUACUUACUGUCGUAGUAUACUUUUGGGGCAUUAUAUAUGUUGUCGUGGACUUGUCGGGGUGCUAGGCUGAUCACCUUCACUGUCGUUUAUAAAAAGCCGUGAGAGUGGAUUGCGUUGAGAGAUACAUAGUGACUUUUGAAAUGUUUGUUGAACCUUAUUGAGCAUUAUAUUAUAAGAUAUAUGUUGUGCAUAUCAUUUAUGUAAUCGUUGUGCGUUGUAUUUUCUAAUACUUAUUUCAGGGGUAUUAAAUUAGCAGGUCGGGGAUCUUAGUAGGUUAUAUUUAUAUAUAGCUCACUCCUUACUUUACUUUCAUGUCUGCAGAUACUUUGUGGAAGGUGAGAUUAGUGGCUAAUGGUCCAUUUGUGAGGAUAUUAUGUUGCUGAGGUGAGUCUUCACAUUGUUCGGCGGGGCUGUCGUUUCAGAUCGAGCUAUUUUAGCUUAUAUUUCUCUUCAUUGGUUUGCAUGCCUGAGAGUUGAAAUUAUCUAUCUCUAUUUUAGAUGCUUCAUGAUCUUAGCGUGGAAUUUCGGCUAGAGAAUAAGUUCUCGAGUCCAUUGCGUUUUGCACCCUAAUGUAUGACCUCUUUUGUGAUUUACACCCUAAGCUCUUAUCUUUCUUGCAAAAUAAUGAAACUACUCUUUUUCUAUAUUUUGCACGAUGGCAAAAUUGCAAUAUGAAUAUAUUUUAAAAAAAAAUAGCAUAGAAUUAUUUUUAAAAAAAGUGCUAAAUUAACCAAUUAAAAGGUCCGAUUCAAUAAAUAAUUUUGUAAAUGUUCCUUCUAUGGGUGAAAUCUUAUUAUUAAAAUUUUAAUUAGUGAUAAAAUGGAUAAACGAUUUAUUCUGAGAACUAAAACAAUUAGGUCUCUCUUAUUACUAUUUUCACAUAGAAGAAGAGAACAAAUUUUGAAUUUGGUUAGAUUAAGAUCUUCUAUUGUAUCACUAUCGAUCAGUUAUUUUUAUGACUCAUCACUUUUUGUAUGAUAUUUAAUAUAAGCUCAUAUAAUUUUUUACUAAAAUGGAUGAAAGCUUAUAAGGUCAUUAAAACUUUAAUUAGGUAUCUCGAGUAUGGGAACUCCUGAAGCAGCUACGACUUCCUCAAGACCUCGUUAUGCGUGCACCUGCUGAUCAAACUUCUGUGUACAUCAAAGUUUUUUUAAUUCUUAGAUUAUCCAACAACAAAAAAAAAAUAAUCAUCAAUGCACUUUUAUAUGCAUCAAUAUUAUUCAUCUGGUUUAUAUAUGCAAUGUCAAAAGCUGCCAAGCGAAAAGUGGGUAUUUGAUUUGUAGUUUAGAAUUGUCAUCUGAGGUAAACUUUUAUGUGGUUUUGACAUAAAGCUUUCUGAGUUACCCAUAAUCUUUAGAGAGCUGGGAAGAAUGUUGAUCCCGUGAAAAUGACAUAGACAAUCAUUUUUUAUUUAACAGUUUCUCUAGUUUUGUGCCUUUUUUUAGGAGAAAAAAAUAUUUAUAUUUCAAUUUUGCCCUCGUGGAAAAUUUUUUAAAAGAGUAAGUUUCAUUAUUUUGCAAGAAAGAUAGAAGGUUAGGGUGCAAAUUAUAAAAUAAAAUAGGAUAGGGUGCAAAUCACAAAAGAGGUCAUACGUUAGGGUGCAAAACGCAAUGAACUCCUAGUUAUUGAUGCGUUAGAGUUGCACAUAUCUUAGUGCUUAUUAAUUGAAAAAGUGUAAGGAAAGUUGGUUGUCCCAACAGGUGGUAUUAGCGGGUGCUAGUCAGGUCUAGGAAUUAUUUUGGGACGUGACAAUAUAGCUAGAAGGAUUGAAAUUCAAGAUUUUACUGUUUGAACUUUAAAUUUUACUGUUACAAUACUAUGUUUUAGCAUUAUUCUCUAACUUCCAAGGAGAUGUAAUUUCUCUAUAUUUUAAAUAAGGGGGCAUCUAUUUCUCGACCGCUUUGAACUGUUUAUCUUUUGCCAAGGUUCUAACGGAAACAUCGUCUCUACCUCUGACGGUAAGGUUUGCGUAUACUCUACCCUCCCCAGAUCCUACUAUAUGUAUAAAGCACUACAUUUUGUAGAAAUAAAGGACCAUUCAUUAUAUUACAGGGGCCUUAGUGAACCUACUAUGUAAAGUUAAGGGACUGUUUGGGCUGAUAAAUUCUGCAGAUAUAAUUUCAGCCACUCAAAUGUUAUCUUGUUUAGGUACUUUUAUCUUUUGUUCUUUAUACAUUUGUUUAUUGUUACUCAUAAUAUUGUCAUUUAUUCUUUCCUUUUCUCAAAUACCUUUUUCAGUGAUUUUGAAGCUGUCAGAUCUGCCAUUGAAAGGUUAGUUUCCAUUAAUUAUUCUCUCAUUUUAUUAAAGUUUUAGAGUAAAAAACACUUGUAGUGGCUUAUCAAUGUAUAAUUUAGCUAUGUUUCUCCAACUCCUGAAAAAUAACCACAAUCUAUUUUGCGUACUGGGAGUUAAAUUAUUUUUACACGUUAAAUGAGCUAAAGCUAGGACUAAACUCACUGUUGUAACAUAACUGACCUGAACAUGAAACAGACUAAUAAAUCGCCUGAUCUUGUUUGGUUUAUGCUUUCCUUUUUUGCCAAUCUGCGUAUCGCGUUAUUUAUAAUACCAUUGACAUCUUGCAACCCUGCAGGUUUCAGGUCAUAACCGCAAACGAAAGAAACGAGAAUACAGUGGAUAUGGCUCAUGCAAGUGUGGCUUCUCUUAUGAGAACAAUAGAAUCGCUCUUGACGUCCAAUUCACCAAUGCAAACUCUAAUCUGUGAUCACAGAGACGAAAUUUGCGCUCUUCAUGAAAAGAUUAGUUCCCUGGAAGUAUUUCUCAAGAACUUUGAGAAAAACAAUGUUUCUGGGGAACUGACAGAUUUGGAAGUGCAGAUAAAAGAAGUUGCAAAUAUUGUUGAACAAACAAUUCAACUAAGAGUAACUGAAGUUGUAUUGAAAAGGCACAUGAGAGUAAAGGCACAUGACAGGCUUUCUGAUAGCCUGCAACAAGUAGCAGAGGAUAUUGAUCGUAUUUGGAAAGAGUCGACAAAUAUCCAGGAUAAGGGCAAACAUGCAUCAAAGGAAUCAACGGUUCAAGAGUUUCUAAGCUCAUCAAGAAAUAUUCUGAAUGUUGAGAAUAGUAUGGUUGGACGUGAUGAUCAAAGGAAAGAGUUGGUAGAAGAUCUUACUAGAAGCUACUGUGGUGAACCCAAAGUCAUCGCGAUUGUCGGGAUGGGUGGCAUAGGUAAAACAACCUUAGCGAACGAAGUUUACAAUGAUGCGUGCAUUCGUUCUCAUUUUGAUGUUUGUGCCUGGGCUACUAUUUCGCAACAGCACAAUGUAAAAAAAAUCUUGUUGAGCCUUCUGCGUUCUACUAAGAGUGAUUCAUUUGACAUGAACAAUGAAGCAGAGCUUGCGAAUAUGCUACAAAAGAGUUUAAAGGGUAAGAGAUAUUUAAUUGUAUUGGAUGACAUGUGGAAAACUGAAGCAUGGGAUGCCGUGAGACUAUGCUUUCCAAGUGAAAACAAGGGGAGUGGAAUAUUAUUGACGACCUGUAACAUUGAAGUAGCUCGCGAUGCUGGUACAGAGAAUCUUUCUGCAGAUGGAUUUAAUGGGUCCAGAUGAGAGUUGGAACCUUUUCAAAAGUGUUGCAUUUGCAAAUGAAGCAUUACCAUCUGAGUUUGAGACUAUUGGGAAGCAAAUUGCAGAGAAAUGUCACGGGUUACCACUAACUAUUGCCGUGGUUGCUGGGCUUCUCAAAUCUAAAAGGGUAGAAGACUGGGAAAAUGUUGCUAAAGAUGUCAAGUCAUUUGUCACAAAUGAUGUUGGAACGAUGUUCACGUGUGCUUAGGUUGAGUUACAAUCACUUGACUAGCGAUCUUGUCUAAUGCAUUUCGGAAUUUUUCCAGAAGACAGUGAGAUACCAGUGAAGAAUUUGAUGAGAUCAUGGAUGGCUGAGAGGUUCCUAAAGUUUGAAAAUGACUUGGAAGGAGAGGCUGAGAAGUGUUUGCAAGAGCUUGUCGAUAGAUGUCUAGUCCUCAUCUGCAAGAAAAGUCUAGAUGGAACAAAAAUUAGAUCAUGUAAAGUUCAUGAUCUAAUAUAUGACCUGUGCUUGAGAGAAAUUGAAAGGGAGAACAUUUUUAUCAUGAACGACAUUGUGCUUGAAUUUGAUUCAGGAUGGACAUAUCUCAGUUUGCGAGAAAUGAAGCUCUUUAAACGCGUGACUGGUGAUGAAAUUGAUUAUUGUCGCUCUGGUCUUUAUAGGGCUCUUCUUACCCCUGUACAUCGUCAGUUGAGAGAUCAUGACAACAACAAUCUUUUCAAUCGAACCCGUUCUAUUUUCUCUUUUUACCCCUGUACAUCACAUCUUUUUCGCAAAUCAGAGCUUAUUCAUUUCAAAUUACUCAAAGUCUUGGAGUUGAGAAACAUAAAGAUGGAUCAUUUCCCUGUACAGAUUCUAAGCCUCAUCUGGUUGAGAUACCUAUUAUUGGAUUUCCGUGAGUAUUUAGACAUUCAUUGUUCAAGGGCCUAUGCUAUGGAAAAUAACUUAUCCUGAGGAAAUUUUGGGACUAAUGCAAUUGAGACAUCUCAAACUGCCCGAAUUUUAUCUGCCAAAUCCUCCAAGCGUAUCUGCUGACAAAGGGAGUCAUGUGUGUUUUUCAAACAUACAAACUAUUUCUUCCAUGUCUCCAUGUUGUUGCACGAAGGAGUUUAUUAUGAGGAUUCAAAAUGUCAAAGAAUUAGGACUCAGUGCAUAUCAGAUUGACUCUUCUGAUGGGCCUCUCAACAGUCUUGUCCAUCUGCAGCAACUUGAAACAUUGAGUCUUACAUAUCGUUUUGGAGGAUUUUGGCCAGCAAGUGCAAAAGCUUUUCCAGCAACGCUCAAGAAGCUGAAGUUGGACAAAACUUAUCUAAGUUGGUCGUACUUGGACAUCAUAGCGGAAUUGCCUAACCUUGAGGUGCUGAAGCUGAUGUAUCGUGCUUGUGAUGGCGAAGAAUGGCGUCCAACUGUUAUGGGAUUUAAUCGAUUGAAGCUUUUGUUAAUUGUACAUAAUGAUCUCAAGUACUGGAAAGCCACGAAUGACAAUUUUCCUGUCCUUGAGCGCCUUGUGCUUAAAGAAUGCCAUUAUUUGAAAAAGAUACCCAUUGAGUUUGCAGAAAUCCACUCAC